This 452-nucleotide long non-coding RNA is filed under the name Cyanistes caeruleus (blue tit). RNAcentral describes it as "lncRNA (ENSCCEG00000018619.1)". The record is from RNAcentral. Lineage: Eukaryota; Metazoa; Chordata; Aves; Passeriformes; Paridae.
AUAACUUCAGGAAGAGAAUGAGCAGCCAGACCAGAUGGACUCCUUUGAAAUGAAGAUCCUGUCUUCAUGCAAAUGCUGUGAAUGAUAAAAGGACAAGAGGGAAAAGUGGCAGAAAUUACACAAGCAGGAUUGUAUCUAAAUACAGAGCACAAUUACUCCUAGUCCCAUUCCAUGCCUGGAGCAUGGUUAAUAGGAGAGACCCUACAAUUGCUGUUGUUUUCUUCUAGAAGAUUGAAAAAAGGUUUUAAAAGUUACUUAUCCAAUCAGCCUGUUAAGACUUCCCAGGGUGUCUUUUCAAGAUGAGAUUCCACAGAGAUAUCUAAGCAUGACACCUUUAUCCUGUCACACUCAAUGACUUUGAGUCUGACUUCUCAACGGGCAUUGGUUUCUUCAGUGGAUCAAGAAUAGCAUUUGGUUUCUUCUAAUGCUUUGGUAUUUUCCCCAGAUUAUUC